This 1030-nucleotide ribosomal RNA is filed under the name Ophiocordyceps camponoti-hippocrepidis. Its description in RNAcentral is "SSU rRNA". It matches the Rfam family "Eukaryotic small subunit ribosomal RNA", at positions 75 to 1116 of the family's 1831-position model. The record is from RNAcentral. Lineage: Eukaryota; Fungi; Ascomycota; Sordariomycetes; Hypocreales; Ophiocordycipitaceae.
UAUACGGCGAAACUGCGAACGGCUCAUUAUAUAAGUUAUCGUUUAUUUGAUAGCACCUUGCUACUUGGGUAACCGUGGUAAUUCUAGAGCUAAUACAUGCUAAAAAUCCCGACUCCGGAAGGGAUGUGUUUAUUAGAUUCAAAACCAAUGCCCCCUGGGCUCACUGGUGAUUCAUGAUAACCGCUCGAAUCGCACGGCCUUGCGCUGGCGAUGGUUCAUUCAAAUUUCUUCCCUAUCAACUUUCGAUGUUUGGGUAGUGGCCAAACAUGGUUGCAACGGGUAACGGAGGGUUAGGGCUCGACCCCGGAGAAGGAGCCUGAGAGACGGCUACUACAUCCAAGGAAGGCAGCAGGCGCGCAAAUUACCCAAUCCCGACACGGGGAGGUAGUGACAAUAAAUACCGAUAUAGGGCUCUUUUGGGUCUUAUAAUUGGAAUGAGUACAAUUUAAAUCCCUUAACGAGGAACAAUUGGAGGGCAAGUCUGGUGCCAGCAGCCGCGGUAAUUCCAGCUCCAAUAGCGUAUAUUAAAGUUGUUGUGGUUAAAAAGCUCGUAGUUGAACCUUGGGCCUGGCUGGCCGGUCCGCCUCACCGCGUGCACUGGUCCGGCCGGGCCUUUCCCUCCGCGGAACCCCAUGCCCUUCGCUGGGCGUGGCGGGGAAACGGGACUUUUACUUUGAAAAAAUUAGAGUGCUCCAGGCAGGCCUAUGCUCGAAUACAUUAGCAUGGAAUAAUGAAAUAGGACGCGCGGUUCUAUUUUGUUGGUUUCUAGGACCGCCGUAAUGAUUGAUAGGGACAGUCGGGGGCGUCAGUAUUCAACCGUCAGAGGUGAAAUUCUUGGACCGGUUGAAGACUAACUACUGCGAAAGCAUUCGCCAAGGAUGUUUUCAUUAAUCAGGAACGAAAGCUAGGGGAUCGAAGACGAUCAGAUACCGUCGUAGUCUUAGCCAUAAACUAUGCCGACUAGGGAUCGGGCGAUGUUAUUCUGUGACUCGCUCGGCACCUUCCGAGAAAUCAAAGUGCUUGGGCUCCA